CCUACGGGAGGCAGCAGUGGGGAAUAUUGCACAAUGGCGGAAACCCUGAUGCAGCGACGCCGCGUGAGCGAUGACGUCUUUCGGUGUGUAAAGCUCUUUUAGCAGGGAAGAAAAUGACGGUACCUGACUAUGAAGCCCCGUCUAACUACGUGCCGGCAGCCGCGGUACUACGGAGGGGGCAAGCGUUAUCCGGAUUUACGGGGUGUAAAGGGAGCGUAGACGGCGGUGCAAGCGAGUUGUGAAAGCCUGUGGCUCAACCCCGGGACUGCAUUUGGAACUGUGAUGCUUGAGUGUGGGCGAGGCAGGCGGAAUUCCUAGUGUAGCGGUGAAAUGCGUAGAUAUUAGGAGGAACACCAGUGGCGAAGGCGGCCUGCUGGACGAUGACUGACGCUGAGGCUCGAAAGCGUGGGGAGCGAACAGGAUUAGAUACCCUGGUAGUC
Molecule: ribosomal RNA, 440 nt
Filed under: uncultured bacterium
Lineage: Bacteria
Description: partial 16S ribosomal RNA
Rfam family: Bacterial small subunit ribosomal RNA
Source: RNAcentral